GCGGGAAUAGCUCAGUUGGUAGAGCAUAACCUUGCCAAGGUNNAAGGUUGGGGUCGCGAGUUCGAGUCUCGUUUCCCGCUCCA
Molecule: transfer RNA, 83 nt
Filed under: Acinetobacter baumannii
Lineage: Bacteria; Pseudomonadati; Pseudomonadota; Gammaproteobacteria; Moraxellales; Moraxellaceae
Description: tRNA-Gly
Rfam family: tRNA
About the family: Transfer RNA (tRNA) molecules are approximately 80 nucleotides in length. Their secondary structure includes four short double-helical elements and three loops (D, anti-codon, and T loops). Further hydrogen bonds mediate the characteristic L-shaped molecular structure. tRNAs have two regions of fundamental functional importance: the anti-codon, which is responsible for specific mRNA codon recognition, and the 3' end, to which the tRNAs corresponding amino acid is attached (by aminoacyl-tRNA synthetases). tRNAs cope with the degeneracy of the genetic code in two manners: having more than one tRNA (with a specific anti-codon) for a particular amino acid; and 'wobble' base-pairing, i.e. permitting non-standard base-pairing at the 3rd anti-codon position.
Source: RNAcentral